Hypanus sabinus (Atlantic stingray) is the source of this 1511-nucleotide long non-coding RNA. RefSeq lists it as uncharacterized. The transcript has 4 exons. NCBI's taxonomy places the organism in Eukaryota, Metazoa, Chordata, Chondrichthyes, Myliobatiformes, Dasyatidae. The record is from RefSeq and is a predicted model, not a curated record.
UUUCGCCUGGGAAAGGAAGGCAGAAGGUCCCGUGCUUUGCCCAUAUUUACAUAUUUAUGAAUGAAUAGCCCAAAUAUUGUGAGGAAAUGCUGCUAGUUUGUGUAGAAUAGCUGGAAUUCCCUCACAUAAACGUUGCAGGAUUCAGGAUUCCUGUGUAGACAAGCACGACAGUGGAACUUCCAAAUUUCCUGGUCACAGUUCAUUGAAGGAUCGAGAAACACAGUGUGUGAACGUAAGGCUGCAGCUGUUCCCAGCACAUACAUUGUGGAAUUAACCGCAAAAUCUUGCAGCGGGUUGGAUUUGUUCUCCAACACUCCCCAACACAAUGUGACAAAAUUUAUGGCAGAUGUACACAGACUCUCAUCACUAUGGUUUGGAGUUAGCUUGCUCUCUAGAAAUCAGCAUUUGUACAUCAGGCUCUACGAUGAAAUGGAAUUAAUCUGAAGGACGAGGCGGAAACAGUUCCAACUUUGUUGUCUCCACUCUGGAAACAAGGUCAGACUUUGAUUUACAGUAUGCAUAUGGAAAUAAUUGUGUGCCCUUGAUGCUGAGCUCCAAACUGUCAUUGCGUCAAAUUGUGUGAGAGGCCUUACACUAAGCAUCUGGAGAAGAAAAGUCCUUUGCCAAACUGUUUGCAUGACAGCGGCCUCUGGAAAGCGGCCAGUGAGUGAGUGGGCCAGUGAAGGAGUGGAGAUUUGAGGCUUUGACUCGAGAGAUUCUGGCAGUUUUGGCAGUUGGACUGUGCAAUCAAGUCAAUCAGGAUUUGAAUAGUUCAGCAGAAAGCCAUUGAUUAGACAAUCAAGAUUUGAAUAGUUCAGACUCAGCAGAAAGCAGCUGAUUGGGCAAUCAGGUGACCAAGCAGUUUGAAAAGCUCAAACAAAUAAAUAGAGGGAUACCUCAAGUGGAGUGGCCAGUGAAGGAGUGGAGAUUUGAGGCUUUGACUCGAGAGGCUUCAACGAGAAGAGGCUGAGGACGAGCUUCACUCCAAGUGAGGUAAGACCAGGCAUAUUCAAUAAAUGCAAGAAGGAAGGUGAAUUAGUGCCAAAUCAGGUACAGACAGAUAAAUAACUACAAGGAAAAGAGCGAGAUGUAAAGGAAGGAAAUUUUUAAAGAGUUUACCAAUGGAAUGAGACCCUGGAGUUCUAGUUUUCUAUCUUUCACAGCUACAUGGUAUGAAUAUAACUUAUUGAAAGCGGGACCUACAUUGUUCUAUUCCAGCCUGAAUUUUUUCUGUGAGUUUAAUGGACAACUAAUAUGUAACUAUGAAAUUCAUGGAGCAUGAAGCGGAAUUGACAUAAUUGGAAUGCAUGUGACAAAGGGUCACAAUUGUUGGGUUUACAGUCUUUGUAUGAGUUACACAUUAACAAGAGCAAGUGUUAUUAAAGUCAUCCAUACUUUGAUGGUAGAUCCUGGGGCCAAGUACUUUCCCUUGCAAUAUGGGUUCAAUAAUUGAACUCCUGGUCAAGAGAAAUACGUAUAACAUUUAAAAAAUUAUUUUACACACCUCUUUA